AAUAUUUGACAAACGCGGUUUUUCCACAUUUAUGUGUCUGAAAAAUUGAGGAAAGUCCAUGCUCACACAGACUGUGAUGUCUGUAGUGUUUGUGCUUAGGGAAAAAAUAACCUAAGGUAGAGAAAUCUAACGACUAAAGAGAAGUCUAAGUCUUUUGAUAUGACUUCUUUUUGUAAAGUGCCACAGAGACGAAUAAGGCGAAAGCUGGAAAUGAAACGAGGUAAACUCCGCAAGUGAGAAACCCAAAUUUUGGUAGGGGAGCUUUAACGAGGUAAUUAAGAACUGAGUUGGGGACCGAUAAUUCGGUAGAUAAAUGUUUGUCGCUCAUAAUUUGAGAACAGAACAUGGCUUACGAAU
This 357-nucleotide RNase P RNA is filed under the name Bacilli bacterium. Its description in RNAcentral is "RNase P RNA component class B". It matches the Rfam family "Bacterial RNase P class B". From Rfam's summary of the family: Ribonuclease P (RNase P) is a ubiquitous endoribonuclease, found in archaea, bacteria and eukarya as well as chloroplasts and mitochondria. The record is from RNAcentral. Lineage: Bacteria; Bacillati; Bacillota; Bacilli.